CUUUGUAGAGGUGAAGAAAUGUGGUGCAGCAGUGGAGCAGCUGGCUGGAUCCUGUCUCAGCUGUUUCCUGAAUUGGAGGAAUUGGGAAGCAUGAAGAUAUAGAGGGAAUUCUAGAGAAUUCUGGAAUUCCCAGAUGCUAGAACAACACUAAAAAGUGCUGCAUGAUGCAAGGGGUGAAGAGGCUGAAGGAGAAGGAUGGCUAUAGACUUUCCAUAUGAGACAAAACUA
This 228-nucleotide long non-coding RNA is filed under the name Serinus canaria (Common canary). Its description in RNAcentral is "lncRNA (ENSSCAG00000014316.1)". The record is from RNAcentral. Lineage: Eukaryota; Metazoa; Chordata; Aves; Passeriformes; Fringillidae.